Molecule: ribosomal RNA, 506 nt
Filed under: uncultured bacterium
Lineage: Bacteria
Description: bacterial SSU rRNA
Rfam family: Bacterial small subunit ribosomal RNA
Source: RNAcentral
GACGAACGCUGGCGGCGUGCUUAACACAUGCAAGUCGAGCGGGAUCCAACCGGUGGCAACACCGGGGAAGAUCUAGCGGCGAACGGGUGAGUAACACGUGAGCAACCUGCCCCGAAGACUGGGAUAACACCGGGAAACCGGUGCUAAUACCGGAUGUCGUCAUUAGGCCGCAUGACCUGAUGAUGAAAGGAUUCAUCGCUUCGGGAGGGGCUCGCGGGCUAUCAGCUUGNGGUGGGGUAACGGCCUACCAAGGCGACGACGGCUAGCUGGUCUGAGAGGACGACCAGCCACACUGGGACUGAGACACGGCCCAGACUCCUACGGGAGGCAGCAGUGGGGAAUCUUGCGCAAUGGGCGAAAGCCUGAUCCAGCGACGCCGCGUGGGUGAAGAAGGCCUGCGGGUUGUAAAGCCCUUUCAGUGGGGAAGAAAAGCCUCGAGCUAACACCUCGGGGUCUUGACGUAACCCAUAGAAGAAGCACCGGCUAACUCUGUGCCAGCCGCCGCA